This 661-nucleotide ribosomal RNA is filed under the name uncultured Bacteroidales bacterium. RNAcentral describes it as "bacterial SSU rRNA". It matches the Rfam family "Bacterial small subunit ribosomal RNA", at positions 41 to 691 of the family's 1533-position model. The record is from RNAcentral. Lineage: Bacteria; Pseudomonadati; Bacteroidota; Bacteroidia; Bacteroidales.
UACAGGCUUAACACAUGCAAGUCGAGGGGCAGCAUGGUCUUAGCUUGCUAAGGCCGAUGGCGACCGGCGCACGGGUGAGUAACACGUAUCCAACCUGCCGUCUACUCUUGGACAGCCUUCUGAAAGGAAGAUUAAUACAAGAUGGCAUCAUGAGUCCACAUGUUCACAUGAUUAAAGGUAUUCCGGUAGACGAUGGGGAUGCGUUCCAUUAGAUAGUAGGCGGGGUAACGGCCCACCUAGUCUUCGAUGGAUAGGGGUUCUGAGAGGAAGGUCCCCCACAUUGGAACUGAGACACGGUCCAAACUCCUACGGGAGGCAGCAGUGAGGAAUAUUGGUCAAUGGGCGAGAGCCUGAACCAGCCAAGUAGCGUGAAGGAUGACUGCCCUAUGGGUUGUAAACUUCUUUUAUAAAGGAAUAAAGUCGGGUAUGUAUACCCGUUUGCAUGUACUUUAUGAAUAAGGAUCGGCUAACUCCGUGCCAGCAGCCGCGGUAAUACGGAGGAUCCGAGCGUUAUCCGGAUUUAUUGGGUUUAAAGGGAGCGUAGAUGGAUGUUUAAGUCAGUUGUGAAAGUUUGCGGCUCAACCGUAAAAUUGCAGUUGAUACUGGAUAUCUUGAGUGCAGUUGAGGCAGGCGGAAUUCGUGGUGUAGCGGUGAAAUGCUU